This 46-nucleotide non-coding RNA is filed under the name Schistosoma mansoni. The record is from RNAcentral. Lineage: Eukaryota; Metazoa; Platyhelminthes; Trematoda; Strigeidida; Schistosomatidae.
GCAUUGCUGGGGAGUCCCAUAAUAGGACGAAACGGUCGUUCAGUGC